This is a non-coding RNA of Phrynosoma platyrhinos (Desert horned lizard), 72 nucleotides long. Lineage: Eukaryota; Metazoa; Chordata; Lepidosauria; Squamata; Phrynosomatidae. The record is from the annotation of a GenBank genome assembly.
GCCAGCGUGGUAUAGUGGUUUGAGUGUUGGACUAUAACUCUGGAGACCAGGGUUUGAAUCCCUGCUCAGCCA